UGGGCCUGAAGCUACCAGAGCCAGCCAUGCCUGUAUGGAGAGGCCUGCCUGGACAUGAGCCAUCACAGAGAAGAGCAGAGGCUGAUCCAGUUGAGUAGGCUGGAGUGGGCUUGGAAUCAGCAUUAUGAGUGAACAUCCGAUGAUGCACCGUGUUCCCGAGGACAGAAACCUGGCCCAGAGCCGCUCCCGCAGGAACAGAACAAGCUCCCCUGGAGACUGUAAUUACCUUCAGAAAACAAGGACCUGAAAAAACAAGAGUCCAGGGAAGGAACUGCAACCACGCGGCUCUCACGUCCAUCCGGCCACACACAGUGGGGACUCUCGGCCUGAGGUGACCCUCCUUCCCUGACAGCUGCCCUCAGCCCUCAAUGCCUCAGUUACUGCCUGUCUGCGUUCAAUCGUGCGGUGACCCCGUGUGCCGAGGGGGGCUGCCUCUCCAAGCCCCGGGGACCCCAAGAGACACAGGAAAAUGAAACACCUAACACUAGUCUUCUAGACACCAGGAGAAUGCGUCACGGCACGGGGACCCCACUAAAACUAACGUCUGUGGGUCAGCUGAAGCUGAUUUUCCAGAGUCUGGCCCUUGUGGUAAAGCAGGAGUGUUACAGUGCUCCUAGAUCCAGACAUCUGAAAGCGAAGGGCCGUGAUGUCUGCCUGUACGAGACUGUAUGACAGUCAUCUCGGAAGCGAUGUGGGCCAAGCCUCCAGCUAACUCUAAGAAACCUGGUUUUGCACCUUUCACCCCACAGACACUUGAAGGAGCUGCUGCUUCUCGACUCCUGUUCUGAACUGAAACGUUGGUUGCACAAGAUGAAUUGACCCCCAAGUUGCCAUCAAAUGCUCACACGGACCUCUGUACGCAUCAUGGCUGGACACAUCCGCCCUGAUUCUAACUCUGUCUUCCUCCCAAAUGUAAUUUUGCAUAAAGCAACACAGUUUAGGAAAACAGACAGGUUUAUCUGAGCUAACGGUGUGUGAGGCACCACGUUGAUUUGUGUCUCGCGAGAGAACGCAGGGCCGGAG
Molecule: long non-coding RNA, 1023 nt
Organism: Diceros bicornis minor
Lineage: Eukaryota; Metazoa; Chordata; Mammalia; Perissodactyla; Rhinocerotidae
Exons: 3
Source: RefSeq, a predicted model, not a curated record